CCGGCUCCCGGCCCCGGCCGGCCAGGGAAGCGGCCCCUCCCCGGCCGCCCGCCCGCCCCUCCCGUUACACCCGGGGGAAGGUGUUCCCGAGACCGCUCCCAUCCUCACGCGCCUCCCCGCUCCCCAGGCUCCAGCCUCUGCCGGCGGAGCUCCACUAUGCCAGACAGUUUCGACACUUUGCAAAGACAAAGACCAGAGGGAGGAGGAAGAGGAGGACGAGGAGGGAGAGGAGGACGGAGCGCUGUGAGCUGGAAGGGGGUCGAGUGUUCGGGACACCCCCCUCUUAUUCUCCUCCGAGCCCCUCAUCCCCAAAGCCGCGGAAACUCCCGCGUGUCUCCAGCUGCGCCGGGACUACUUUCAGGAUCAACUUUUCUGACCUGGAAAUGCCAAUAGAUGUCAUAAUCAUCGCCAGGAGGUGUGGUGAGCAAACACUUUGAGCUUCGUGACCAGGACGGUUUCCUCUGAGUGCCAGAGAUGGACAGUCCCUCAGCCUCCUGAGGUACCUUGAUACAAAUAUGAGCCUUCCCAUGGUCACAGGAAGAUCAGACACAGUAUUGGGUCUCCUGUAAAGGGAAUGAAGCAAUGGCCAUAGUGUUCCCCAUCGGCUGAAGAUGGAGCAAGAGAGAUAAGAAACAGUGAGAGGAAGAAAGUGAGCUAAAGAUACAGGGCCUGUGAGUCUUGGAAGAAGGAGGAAUGCUAGAGACAAAAGAUGACAGGGAGGGACCAUGGGUUUACUCUCAAAGAAUGUGUUAAACAGAAUCAUGACGAUUGGGAACUUAUCCCAUCUCAGAAUCAGGCUGAGUACAGCCAGUUCUAUACAGCAGACCCAUGGGGAGAAGCUUGGACUUGGAAAUAGUCCCGCCAUCUUGGGUGGGUCAGGACUGGAAGCAUAAUCGAAGAUUUUACUUGCUGAAUAAGGGAAUGUGCAGUGCUGAAGAAGAGGGCCAGUCACUGAGCUGCACGGUGCUUAUGGACAGGUCAGAAAAGAAACUCUAGGUGGCCAGGAGGACUAUGGGCAAAGGCUCCACGUUGUGUCUGUAGGAUCUGGGCUUUUUUUUGGCCUCGGGUUCCCCCAGAACUAGCAAGAACGAAGCAGAGUUUCAGAUGAUGGAAAAGAAUUGAACUGAUGUGUAUCUGUACCUCUGGAUUGGAAAUGGGCCCUGCCUCUCUCCUCUUGGUUGGGUUUUAAGUUUUCACCAUUGCCGGUGAGUGUUGGAGUCACUUGAAACAGGUGUUUCCACAGCAGACUUUCAAACAGUGGAGUUUAAGCAGAUAUGAAGUAAUUAGAAGUAACAAUUAGAAAAGAUACUGGUUUUUGCUACAUAGUAUCGAGCACACCAGGGACAACAGAGGUGGUGGUGACGAUGAUGUUAACAGCGAUGAUAUCGUCCAUCCAUUUCAAGCUCAUUGUGUGCCAUGUACACCAUUCUGGUAAUAAUAAUUGUUAUUAUACUAGCUUCAGAUUAUUGUGCUAAGCACUAUAGUCACUUUUUCUCAGCACAUGAACCCAGAGCAUGUUUUUCGAUUACAUUUUUUCCAAUUGCUCAAGUUUGAUAUAAUUACAGAUUUACAGAUAAGUUGCAAGAAGAACCAAAAAAUUCCUGGAUACCCCUCACUUGGAUUCCUUAAGUCCUAACAUUUUACUAUAUUUGUUCUAUCCUGUCCUCUCUCUAUUUUUUCUGAAACCCAAAGAUUCUUAAAACUGUGAUACAACCAAGUCAGAAACUUAGCACGGGUCCGCGGCUGUUAUCUGAGCCUCGGAACUUCUUCUGAUUUCACCAGAGGCCCCCAAGUGAGGUCCUAUCCAGCAAAAGAAAACCUACUGGGCACAUGGCCUUUUUGGAAAACUUCUUCACUCUUGUAUUUCGUGAUGUUCAUGUUUUUGACACGUUAAGCCAAUCAUUUUUCAGAGUGUCCCUUGGUUGGUGCUUGCCUGAUGCUCCCUCGUGAUUCCAUUUACAUUCCUGCUUUUGCCCGGCAUCCCACAGAAUUCAGGGGGUGUCCUCCAUGCCUCAUAAGUGGAGGGCCGGGGCUGGUCUGUCCCAUUACUGUAGUGUUGGCCUUAUUCCUUGGUUAAUGAUGGCAUCAGCCAAUGGUCAAGGGGCCUGGCUCCUUUCAGUGGAGAAUGGUGUCUAGAAAUACCAUCUGGUCAUGGAUAUGUCCGUGGCUGCCGAGAUAGCCUCCCCCUGGGCCCUCUGAGCAGACAGAGCUGGGAAAUAGGGAGUGUGGGGGUGUGUGCAUGCUUCCGUGUGUGCGUAUAUAUUAUGCGUAUACACAUAUCUGUAUAUAUAGACCUGUGUAUAUGUAUCAGCAUAUACGUGCGUACCCAUCAUAUAUAUGUGUGAAUAUGCCUAUAGAGGCACGUCGUGUAGAUCGUUUCUAAAGCAGCACACAUGCAUAUUAAAACCACGGUGAGCGCACACUGGCGAAGCUAGCCGCAACAUUCUUGAAACCCACGUCUGUCUCAAUGAUGCUGGCCCAGUCUCACGGCCAAUACCACCGAGCACCACAUUUAUUAAACCACAGGUCAGACCCUAUUCCAGACCCUUCUCUUGCUGCUACUGCUCCUCAAGCAGCCCAAGUCCCAAUGAGGAAACAAGACUCCGAAAAGAUAAUUAACUUCUGCAACGUUGUACAACGAGCCAGUGAGGCAAACGUACCCUGAGUGCCUGUUGGCCUGUUGGCGUCAGAGCCGAUGGCCUGUGGGGAGGCCGGUGCCUCAGAGGAAAACCCAAGCCAAGGGUGACGGGAGCGUUUGUCCCACAGACCCGAGACGGCUGAGGCUCCUAGCGGCAGGAAGGAGAUGGCGCAUUGGUGACGCCCACGUCCGUCACUCCCGGCAGGUGUUUACCGGCUGCCUCUCGGGCAUCUGCAUGGGGCUGUGUGUGCUCGAGCCUUUUCCUGGCAGGGGUGGGCGGCUGCGGUCCCGUGCUUUCAAGCCCUCGAUCAGGUUCAGGUUGCGGGCAUAAAAGCAGAAGUGGGCCUCUCUGGGGAGAGCGCAUUUCCUCUCUUGCUGUGGGGCAUUCCAGGCUGAGCUGCUACAGCCCAGAGGCUUUAACUGGAAACACAUUUGUGUCCCGGCUCCCAGCAGAGCACUUGUAGGAGGUGAACUUGAUAAAUGCUACUUCUGAUCGUGCAUCAAUAGCUGUUUCUGAGCUCUUUCUGUGUGCCAGGCACUGUCCUGGGCAGACAGAGCCCCAGGGAGCUCACGCGUUAGCCAAAAGCCAGAGAAGGGCAAGGGGAAGAGAUGGACAGUAAGCCAGGGCGUAAAUGAACAUCAGUAGCGUGGGGCGGGGUGGGACGGAGAGCAUGUGUGGCGUGCUGGUCCUGGAGGGGCACUCGGAGGAGCCCUGGGUGGAAUCCCGUCACACUGCCCAGAGGAAAGAGCACAGCAGCAAAGACAGGGAGCCCGGGCUGCUGAUCAGAGCACACACGGAGGACUCAUUACCCUCCCCGAGGGGCUUCACCCUGGAAAGCGAAGCCUGUCUGCUCCUGUGCAUCUUUUCAGGCCUGAGGAGUCACAUACAUGGGCUCUCUCUCCCUCAGAGCUCAAGCAUUUCCUCCAAAAAAUGUAAAUGUUAUCAGCUGGCCCAGAGGUGAACUGGAGGCCAAGGCACUCAGUGGAUAAGAGGCGGUCUUAGCGGUCACAGAUAUAGAAAUGGGCAGCAGGGUGGGAUUUCUGUUGCUGAUAACCUUAAAGAAAGAGCAACAGUUGUGGGCACAGGGACCUGGGAGAGAUACCGGGGAGCCAGCUUCGAGGAGCUGCAGGGCUGGCAGGUGCAGAAGGGCGAGCCUGCACCGGGCGAUUUGAAGGAGGGAAUCCAUGGGAGCAAGUGGAAUUCACAGAGAGGUCUCAGUUGGGGCCGUGGGGUUCCUGCCUGCCUUCUCAUCCACUCAAGCAUUCAUUCGUUCGCUCAGGCAGCAGACACUCCUGGGUCCCUGGCACCGUGCCGAGGACGGGAUAAAACCGAGUGAGACAAGAUGGUGGUAAUUCAGUGGGAGAAACAGACAAAUUAACAGAUCGGUGCUAGGCACAGAUGCACCUCUGAGCUACAGGGAGGCCCAUAGCUAAUGCAGUUUGGGCGUUCUCUUUAAGAAAUAAUGAUACGAGUUACGGAUUUAAAAUGAAAGAUGAGCCCUAGGGGCACCUGGGUGGCUCAGUUGCUUGAGGAUCUGC
This is a long non-coding RNA of Mustela erminea (ermine), 4177 nucleotides long. RefSeq lists it as uncharacterized. The record is from RefSeq and is a predicted model, not a curated record. Lineage: Eukaryota; Metazoa; Chordata; Mammalia; Carnivora; Mustelidae. The transcript is spliced from 3 exons.